This 159-nucleotide unclassified non-coding RNA is filed under the name soil metagenome. Its description in RNAcentral is "partial internal transcribed spacer 1". The record is from RNAcentral.
CACAAUUAAAUAUGAAGCUCGGCUGAUAUAUCACCCUGUGAACAUACCACUUGUUGCCUCGGCGGAUCAGCCCGCUCCCGGUAAAACGGGACGGCCCGCCAGAGGACCCCUAAACUCUGUUUCUAUAUGUAACUUCUGAGUAAAACCAUAAAUAAAUCA